Molecule: ribosomal RNA, 183 nt
Filed under: uncultured bacterium
Lineage: Bacteria
Description: partial 16S ribosomal RNA
Rfam family: Bacterial small subunit ribosomal RNA
Source: RNAcentral
GCAGUGGGGAAUAUUGGACAAUGGGCGAAAGCCUGAUCCAGCCAUGCCGCGUGUGUGAAGAAGGUCUUCGGAUUGUAAAGCACUUUAAGUUGGGAGGAAGGGUUGUAGAUUAAUACUCUGCAAUUUUGACGUUACCGACAGAAUAAGCACCGGCUAACUCUGUGCCAGCAGCCGCGGUAAUAA